Molecule: ribosomal RNA, 591 nt
Filed under: Triticum aestivum (bread wheat)
Lineage: Eukaryota; Viridiplantae; Streptophyta; Magnoliopsida; Poales; Poaceae
Description: partial small subunit ribosomal RNA
Source: RNAcentral
AUGCUCGAGACCAUCUGCCUCCUCCUCGCCUACAAGCUCAAGUACCCGGGCGCCUUCUUCCUCCGCGGCAACCACGAGUGCGCCGCCGUCAACAAGCAGUACGGCUUCUACUCCCAGUGCGCGUCCCGCGGCCCGCGCAAGAAGAUCCUGUGCGUGCACGGUGGGCUCUCGCCGGAGCUGGAGAGCCCGGACCAUAUCCGCGAGAUCAAGCGCCCGCUGGCCGACGUCCCCGACUCCGGGCUCGUGUGCGACCUGCUGUGGUCGGACCCCGCCGCGGACGGCGACAACUGGGGGUGGGGGGACCCGCGCAGGUGCACGUCCUUCACCUUCGGCGCCGACGUGGUGGAGGAGUUCUGCGAGAGGCACGGGCUGGCCAUGGUGUGCAGGGCGCACGAGAUGAAGGAGGGCGGGUAUGACCAAGAGUUCGCCGGCGGGAAGCUUGUGACCGUGUUCUCCGCGCCCAACUACUGCGGCAAGUGCGGCAACGACGGCGCCAUCAUGACGGUCGCCGGUGACCUCGCCUGCUCCUUCCGCGUCUUCCACCCUGAUACUGCCGCUACUCCUCCUCCGGCUCCUAUUUAUCUUCUUUAG